RNAcentral lists this ribosomal RNA (1323 nucleotides) under uncultured bacterium. RNAcentral's name for it is "partial 16S ribosomal RNA". It matches the Rfam family "Bacterial small subunit ribosomal RNA", at positions 49 to 1399 of the family's 1533-position model. The record is from RNAcentral.
UAACACAUGCAAGUCGAGCGAUUCUCUUCCGAGAAGAGCGGCGGACGGGUGAGUAACGCGUGGGUAACCUGCCCUGUACACACGGAUAACAUACCGAGAGGUAUGCUAAUACCAGAUAAUAUACUUUUAUCGCAUGGGAGAAGUAUCAGAGUUUUUGCGGAACAGGAUGGACCCGCGUCUGAUUACCUAGUUGGUAAGGUAACGGCUUACCAAGGCGACCAUCAGUAGCCGACCUGAGAGGGUGAUCGGCCACGUUGGAACUGAGACACGGUCCAAACUCCUACGGGAGGCAGCAGUGGGGAAUAUUGCACAAUGGGCGAAAGCCUGAUGCAGCAACGCCGCGUGAGCGAUGAAGGCCUUCGGGACGUAAAGCUCUGUCCUCGAGGAAGAUAAUGACGGUACUUGAGGAGGAACCCCCGGCUAACUACGUGCCACCAGCCGCGGUAAUACGUAGGGGGCUAGCGUUAUCCGGAAUCACAGGCCAAAAAGGGUGCGUAUGUGGUUUCUUAUGUCAGAGGUGAAAGGCCACGGCUCAACCGAAUUAACCCUUUGAAACUGGAAAAUUUGACUGCCGGAGAGGAGAGCGAAUUUCCUACUGUAGCCGGGAAAUGCACUCAUAUAAGGAGGAACACCAGUUGCAAAUGCCGCUCUCUGGACUGUAACUGACCCUGAGGCACAAACCCUGGGGGACCAAAACGGAUUAGAUCCCCUGGUAGUCCCCGCCGUAAACGAUGAUUACUAGCUGUCGGAGGUUACCCCCUUCGGUGGCGCAGCUAACACAUUAAGUACUCCGCCUGGGAAGUACGCUCGCAAGAGUGAAACUCAAAGGAAUUGACAGGGACCCGCACAAGUAGCGGAGCAUGUGGUUUAAUUCGAAGCAACGCGAAGAACCUUACCUAAGCUUGACAUCCUUUUGACCGAUGCCUAAUCGCAUCUUUCCCUUCGGGGACAGAAGUGACAGGUGGUGCAUGGUUGUCGUCAGCUCGUGUCGUGAGAUGUUGGGUUAAGUCCCGCAACGAGCGCAACCCUUAUCUUUAGUAGCCAGCAGGUGAGGCUGGGCACUCUAGAGAGACUGCCAGGGAUAACCUGGAGGAAGGUGGGGAUGACGUCAAAUCAUCAUGCCCCUUAUGAUUAGGGCUACACACGUGCUACAAUGGCGUAAACAAAGGGAAGCAGAGCCGCGAGGCCGAGCAAAUCUCAAAAAUAACGUCUCAGUUCGGAUUGUAGUCUGCAACUCGACUACAUGAAGCUGGAAUCGCUAGUAAUCGCGAAUCAGAAUGUCGCGGUGAAUACGUUCCCGGGUCUUGCACACACCGCCCGUCA